AAACAAGGUUGUAAAGCUUUUUACAAAAGUAUCGAAAACUAAAGCCUACAUUUCAUGCAAAUAUUCUUAUCU
RNAcentral lists this transfer RNA (72 nucleotides) under Prasiola crispa. RNAcentral describes it as "tRNA-Asn". Lineage: Eukaryota; Viridiplantae; Chlorophyta; Trebouxiophyceae; Prasiolales; Prasiolaceae. The record is from RNAcentral.